UUUUUUGACAAGAAGUUUAGUGGAGUUUAGUGAAUAGUAAAAGUAAAAGUGGUGAUGAGUUUUUUUUUUUAGCUCAUUGAUGAGAUGAAUUUGUUGUGGCAUAUUUUGUAUGUGAAGAAACUCAAGAAAAUGAUAUGAAGGAGUAAGAAAGUGAUAUAGAGAUAUUGAUGAGUUUUUUAUCAUUAGUGGGAGUGGUCUAAAAAAAUUCCCACUAUAAUUUUGAGGGGUGUUGGAGGUCCCGGCUGCUUAGCUUGUUGUCUCGACUCACACAACUUCCUAUAAAUACAAGUCCAAAUCUUGCCCUUCUCACAAAAACAAAAUAUUUACAGUGUAAUUUUAAAAAAUGGCAACUUCAAAGGCUUAUCUUCUUGUCAUUCUCUGUGUCGCGACUCUUCUCAUUUCUAAUCCGGUUUCAGCUCGUGAGCUGGCUGACCCUCAGUCAACUCAGCACACCCAGUCCGUGGAGGAAUCCAAGGACGAAUAUGAUGGUUCAUCACCUUAUGGUUCCUACGGUGGCUGAUCGCCUUAUGGUUCUUACGGUGGUAGUCCUUCAGACGGUGGCGCGAUAGGUUAUGUGCCUUAUCUCCCCCCAAAUUAAGGACACAAAAGAAAAGCUUGUUGAGAAAAGCCCUAAAUAAAUCUAGUACGUGGUACGAAUUAUGUCAUCAAAAGUCAAGCGAAACAUGUUUUCGCUCUUUAAAUAUGUGUGUAUCUAUUAAGUAAUUUUUUUUUUUUUUGAAAUAUAUCUAUUAAGUAAAUUCAUUACGAAUAAAUUUGAAAAGAUAAAGGAAUUGAAGUGCUCAA
Molecule: long non-coding RNA, 804 nt
Organism: Spinacia oleracea (spinach)
Lineage: Eukaryota; Viridiplantae; Streptophyta; Magnoliopsida; Caryophyllales; Amaranthaceae
Exons: 2
Source: RefSeq, a predicted model, not a curated record